This 21-nucleotide microRNA is filed under the name Schmidtea mediterranea. RNAcentral describes it as "sme-bantam-a". Its record names the gene sme-bantam-a. The record is from miRBase by way of RNAcentral. Lineage: Eukaryota; Metazoa; Platyhelminthes; Tricladida; Dugesiidae.
UGAGAUCACUAUGAAAGCUGG